RNAcentral lists this ribosomal RNA (441 nucleotides) under Geobacillus stearothermophilus. RNAcentral's name for it is "bacterial LSU rRNA". It matches the Rfam family "Bacterial large subunit ribosomal RNA", at positions 236 to 673 of the family's 2925-position model. The record is from RNAcentral. Lineage: Bacteria; Bacillati; Bacillota; Bacilli; Caryophanales; Anoxybacillaceae.
UCCCUGAGUAGCGGCGAGCGAAACGGGAACAGCCCAAACCAAGAGGCGUGCCUCUUGGGGUUGUAGGACCGCUCAUUGUGGGAGUGAGAAAGGAACGGGGUAGACGAACCGGUCUGGAACGGCCGGCCAGAGAAGGUGACAGCCCUGUAGUCGAAACUUCGUUCCCUCCCGAGCGGAUCCUGAGUACGGCGGGACACGGGAAAUCCCGUCGGAAGCAGGGUGGACCAUCUCCCAAGGCUAAAUACUCCCUAGUGACCGAUAGUGCACCAGUACCGUGAGGGAAAGGUGAAAAGCACCCCGGAAGGGGAGUGAAAGAGAACCUGAAACCGUGUGCCUACAAGUAGUCAGAGCGCGUUCAUGCGUGAUGGCGUGCCUUUUGUAGAAUGAACCGGCGAGUGACGAUGGCGUGCGAGGUUAAGCCGAAGAGGCGGAGCCGCAGCG